GUAGGUGGCAAGCGUUGUCCGGGAAUUAUUGGGGCGUAAAGCGCGCGCAGGCGGUUCUUUAAGUCUGAUGUGAAAGCCCACGGGCUCAACCGUGGAGGGUCAUUGGAAACUGGAGAACUUGAGUACAGAAGAGGAAAGCGGAAUUCCACGUGUAGCGGUGAAAUGCGUAGAGAUGUGGAGGAACACCAGUGGCGAAGGCGGCUUUCUGGUCUGUAACUGACGCUGAGGCGCGAAAGCGUGGGGAGCAAACAGGAUUAGAUACCCUGGUAGUCCACGCCGUAAACGAUGAGUGCUAAAUGUUAGGGGGUUUCCGCCCCUUAGUGCUGCAGCUAACGCAUUAAGCACUCCGCCUGGGGAGUACGGCCGCAAAGGCUG
RNAcentral lists this ribosomal RNA (375 nucleotides) under uncultured organism. RNAcentral's name for it is "partial 16S ribosomal RNA". It matches the Rfam family "Bacterial small subunit ribosomal RNA", at positions 527 to 896 of the family's 1533-position model. The record is from RNAcentral.